AGCACAAAGAGAGGGACUAACUGAUGC
Molecule: non-coding RNA, 27 nt
Filed under: Homo sapiens (human)
Lineage: Eukaryota; Metazoa; Chordata; Mammalia; Primates; Hominidae
Source: RNAcentral